UGGCUCAGAACGAACGCUGGCCCGAAUGCCUUACACACGCAAGUCGAACGGCAGCACGGGUGCUUGCACCCGGUGGCGAGUGGCGAACGGGUGAGUAAUACAUCGGAACAUGUCCUGUAGUGGGGGAUAGCCCGGCGAAAGCCGGAUUAAUACCGCAUACGAUCCACGGAUGAAAGCGGGGGACCUUCGGGCCUCGCGCUAUAGGGUUGGCCGAUGGCUGAUUAGCUAGUUGGUGGGGUAAAGGCCCAACAAGGCGACGAUCAGUAGCUGGUCUGAGAGGACGACCAGCCACACUGGGACUGAGACACGGCCCAGACUCCUACGGGAGGCAGCAGUGGG
This 339-nucleotide ribosomal RNA is filed under the name Burkholderia gladioli. RNAcentral's name for it is "bacterial SSU rRNA". It matches the Rfam family "Bacterial small subunit ribosomal RNA", at positions 20 to 358 of the family's 1533-position model. Lineage: Bacteria; Pseudomonadati; Pseudomonadota; Betaproteobacteria; Burkholderiales; Burkholderiaceae. The record is from RNAcentral.